Molecule: ribosomal RNA, 253 nt
Filed under: uncultured bacterium
Lineage: Bacteria
Description: partial 16S ribosomal RNA
Rfam family: Bacterial small subunit ribosomal RNA
Source: RNAcentral
UACGAAGGGGGCUAGCGUUGCUCGGAAUGACUGGGUGUAAAGGGCGCGUAGGCGGAUGGCACAGUCAGAUGUGAAAUUCCCGGGCUUAACCUGGGGGCUGCAUUUGAUACGUGUUGUCUAGAGUGAGGAAGAGGGUUGUGGAAUUCCCAGUGUAGAGGUGAAAUUCGUAGAUAUUGGGAAGAACACCGGUGGCGAAGGCGGCAACCUGGUCCUUGACUGACGCUGAGGCGCGAAAGCGUGGGGAGCAAACAGG